CGUCAUCCCCACCUUCCUCACAUCUUACGACGGCAGUCUCUCUAGAGUCCUCAGCAUGACCUGUUAGUAACUAAAGAUAAGGGUUGCGCUCGUUAUGGCACUUAAGCCGACACCUCACGGCACGAGCUGACGACAACCAUGCAGCACCUUCACAAUUGCCUUACGGCUAUACUGUUUCCAGUAUAUUCAAAUGCAAUUUAAGCCCGGGUAAGGUUCCUCGCGUAUCAUCGAAUUAAACCACAUGUUCCUCCGCUUGUGCGGGCCCCCGUCAAUUCCUUUGAGUUUCACCGUUGCCGGCGUACUCCCCAGGUGGAAUACUUAAUGCUUUCGCUUGGCCGCUUACUGUAUAUCGCAAACAGCGAGUAUUCAUCGUUUACUGUGUGGACUACCAGGGUAUCUAAUCCUGUUUGAUACCCACACUUUCGAGCAUCAGUGUCAGUUGCAGUCCAGUGAGCUGCCUUCGCAAUCGGAGUUCUUCGUGAUAUCUAAGCAUUUCACCGCUACACCACGAAUUCCGCCCACCUCUACUGUACUCAAGACAGCCAGUAUCAACUGCAAUUUUACGGUUGAGCCGCAAACUUUCACAACUGACUUAACUGUCCACCUACGCUCCCUUUAAACCCAAUAAAUCCGGAUAACGCUCGGAUCCUCCGUAUUACCGCGGCUGCUGGCACGGAGUUAGCCGAUCCUUAUUCAUAUGGUACAUACAAAAUUCCACACGUGGAAAACUUUAUUCCCAUAUAAAAGAAGUUUACAACCCAUAGGGCAGUCAUCCUUCACGCUACUUGGCUGGUUCAGGCCCGCGCCCAUUGACCAAUAUUCCUCACUGCUGCCUCCCGUANGAGUUUGGACCGUGUCUCANUUCCNAUGUGGGGGACCUUCCUCUCANAACCCCUAUCCAUCGAAGGUUUGGUGAGCCGUUACCUCACCAACUGCCUAAUGGAACGCAUCCCCAUCGAUAACCGAAAUUCUUUAAUAACAAAACCAUGCGGUCUAAUUAUGCCAUCNGGUAUUAAUCUUUCUUUCGAAAGGCUAUCCCCGAGUUAUCGGCAGGUUGGAUACGUGUUACUCACCCGUGCGCCGGUCGCCAUCUCCNGU
This 1098-nucleotide ribosomal RNA is filed under the name Bacteroides thetaiotaomicron. Its description in RNAcentral is "partial 16S ribosomal RNA". The record is from RNAcentral. Lineage: Bacteria; Pseudomonadati; Bacteroidota; Bacteroidia; Bacteroidales; Bacteroidaceae.